AGAGUUUGAUCCUGGCUCAGAACGAACGCUGGCGGCGUGCCUAACACAUGCAAGUCGUACGAGAAAAUCCGCUUCGGCGGGUGAGUAGAGUGGCGCACGGGUGAGUAACGCGUGGAUAAUCUGCCUUUAAGCUGGGAAUAACUCACCGAAAGGUGGGCUAAUACCCGAUAAUGCUAUGGGACUUCGGUUUUAUAGCCAAAGAGAGCCUCUACAUGUAAGCCUUCACUUAAAGAUGAGUCCGCGUACCAUUAGCUAGUUGGUAGGGUAAUGGCCUACCAAGGCGACGAUGGUUAGCUGGUCUGAGAGGAUGAUCAGCCACACUGGAACUGAGACACGGUCCAGACUCCUACGGGAGGCAGCAGUGAGGAAUAUUGCGCAAUGGGGGCAACCCUGACGCAGCAACGCCGCGUGAGUGAGGAAGGUCUUCGGAUCGUAAAGCUCUGUCGGGUGGGAAGAAGUGUGCAUAGGUUAAUAGCUUGUGCACUUGACGGUACCGCCAAAGGAAGCACCGGCUAACUCCGUGCCAGCAGCCGCGGUAAUACGGGGGGUGCGAGCGUUGUUCGGAAUCAUUGGGCGUAAAGAGCGUGUAGGCGGCUAGGCAAGUCAGAUGUGAAAUCCCUGGGCUUAACCCAGGAAGUGCAUUUGAAACUGCUUAGCUUGAGUAAGGAAGAGGGAAGUGGAAUUCCGGGUGUAGAGGUGAAAUUCGUAGAUAUCAGGAGGAACACCGGUGGCGAAGGCGACUUCCUGGUCCUAUACUGACGCUGAGACGCGAGAGCGUGGGGAGCAAACAGGAUUAGAUACCCUGGUAGUCCACGCCGUAAACGAUGU
Molecule: ribosomal RNA, 828 nt
Filed under: uncultured bacterium
Lineage: Bacteria
Description: bacterial SSU rRNA
Rfam family: Bacterial small subunit ribosomal RNA
Source: RNAcentral